Nematolebias whitei (Rio pearlfish) is the source of this 90-nucleotide long non-coding RNA. RefSeq lists it as uncharacterized. The transcript has 3 exons. Lineage: Eukaryota; Metazoa; Chordata; Actinopteri; Cyprinodontiformes; Rivulidae. The record is from RefSeq and is a predicted model, not a curated record.
UUCCAAGACUUUAACCACCACCAUCAAGACAAACAGCAUCUUGAAGAUUUCUUCCAUAAAAUGUCCAAUGUCAACGCAUCCAUUUACCAG